This 497-nucleotide ribosomal RNA is filed under the name uncultured bacterium. RNAcentral describes it as "partial 16S ribosomal RNA". It matches the Rfam family "Bacterial small subunit ribosomal RNA", at positions 28 to 507 of the family's 1533-position model. The record is from RNAcentral.
GAUGAACGCUGGCGGCGUGCCUAAUACAUGCAAGUCGAGCGAACAGACGAGGAGCUUGCUCCUCUGACGUUAGCGGCGGACGGGUGAGUAACACGUGGAUAACCUACCUAUAAGUCUGGGAUAAUUUCGGGAAACCGGAGCUAAUACCGGAUAAUAUAUUGAACCGCAUGGUUCAAUAGUGAAAGACGGUUUUGCUGUCAGUUAUAGAUGGAUCUGCGCCGCAUUAGCUAGUUGGUAAGGUAACGGCUUACCAAGGCGACGAUGCGUAGCCGACCUGAGAGGGUGAUCGGCCACACUGGAACUGAGACACGGUCCAGACUCCUACGGGAGGCAGCAGUAGGGAAUCUUCCGCAGUGGGCGAAAGCCUGACGGAGCAACGCCGCGUGAGUGAUAAAGGUCUUCGGAUCGUAAAACUCUGUUAUUAGGGAAGAACAAAUGUGUAAGUAGCUAUGCACGUCUUGACGGUACCUAAUCAGAAAGCCACGGCUAACUACGUG